This is a non-coding RNA of Kogia breviceps (pygmy sperm whale), 3456 nucleotides long. The record is from RefSeq and is a predicted model, not a curated record. NCBI's taxonomy places the organism in Eukaryota, Metazoa, Chordata, Mammalia, Artiodactyla, Physeteridae.
AAUAUAUAUAUUUAUUUAUUAUAAGGAAUUUGCUCAUACCAUUAUGGAGGCUGGCAAGUCCCAAGAUCUGCAGGGUUAGUCAGCAAGUUGGAGGCCCAGGUGAGCCAAUGGUUUAGUUCCCAUCCAAGUCUGAAGGCCCAAGACCCAGGAGAUCCCAUGGUGUAAUUCCAGUUUAAAGGCUGACAGACUUAAGACCCAGGAAAAACCAAUAUUUCAGUUUGAGUCUAAAGUAGGAAAAAGGUUGAUGACUCAGUCUGAAGGCUGUCAAGCAGGAAGAAUUCUUUCUGACUUAAGGGAUGGUCAGCUAUUUGGUUCCAUUAGUCCUUCAACUGAUUGGAUCAGGCCCACCCACAUUAGGGAGAGCAAUUUGCUUUAUUCAAUCUGCCAUUUUAAAUGUUAAUCUCAUCUAAAACCCCUAAAGAAAUACUCAGAAUAAUGUUUGACCAAAUAUCUGGGCACCCUAUGGCCCAGGCAAAUUAACUAUCACAGCUCCUGAAUGGAACUGUUUGCUUUUGUACAGUCCUUAAAUAAAAGUUUGUUAUUUGUUGUUUGGCAUGCUCUUAUUUUCACUGUGAAUGAGAAGUUGUGGGGAAAGGCUUUGGGCUGGUAAGAGAAGAGCACAUUAUGGGAUUGGCUUUGAACAGCCUUGAUUCCACCCAUGCAAGCUUUAACCACAGUUAAAAAUAAAGCCACAGUUUUAUUUCUGCAUCUGCCUUCUCAGUAUUUCAUUUAUAUCAGUUUAUAAAGUGAUAGCAUGUAUGGGGUACUUACAUUUCACUCAUCCAUAUUAAAUUUCAAACAUACUUUUGUGAAUAUCCCAGUCUUAAAAUUCACAUUAUUCACAUUGGCUGCUCCCAAGGAAACUUACCAGCAGGAAGGAGAACUGACAUUUAUGGAGGCAGAAGCAUUACAUAUGUUAACUCUUUUUCUUCUUCUUUUUUUGGGGGGCUGCAGUGCACUGCAUGCAGGCCAGACCAGGGAUUGAACCCAUGCCUCCUGCAGUUGAAGCGUGGAGUCUUAACCACUGGACCGGCAGGGAAGUCCUGACUCAUUUAAUCCUUACAAUAAGGAAAUAAUCCUCUAAAUGGCUAGGUAGUAGAACUGGGAGCAUAAAUCUAGUGUAUCUAGCUCUGAAGACAAUACCGUUUUCUUUUGCACUGAAAUACCUUGAAGAUAUGAGAGGCGUGUAGAAUUUUAGCAUACAUAUUUGAUUAGACUUCUUUUUUUAAAGUUAAACCUGAAAAAAAAAAUCCUAAUCCUGGAUAUGCCUUAGUGGUCUUGUUGUGUCUGAACUGAUGAACAACAGUCAGGUUUAAUUAAAUAGCACUCAGAAAAAACCCUGUGCAGGGGCUUUGGGAAACCAGAGGUGGUUCCUCAGACAGAGAACAUUUAGCUUCUCUGACAAAUGUAUUGGAUUAGUUGAUCUUUGAACUCCCCUCCAGGGAGAGGGACAAAUUAGGAGUAUGGGAUUAACAGAUACAAACUAGUAUUCAAAACAUAGAUAGGCUACAGGGACUUACUGUAUCAUACAGGGAAUUAUACACAAUAUCUUGUAAUAACCUAUAUAAUGGAAUAUAAUCUGCAAACAACUACCCCAAAUCACUAUGCUGUACACCUGAAACUAACACAAUAUUGUAAAUCAACUAUACAUCAAUAUAAAUAAAUAGACUCCCUUCCAGUUCCACAAUCCUUUGACUGUAAAUUAUAAACCUCCAGUGAGGCGCGGGACUCUGGCUUCGAGGAAGGUCUACAGGACCAUCAGGGGUCGCCAACUCAGAGUAAUGAAGCAGCUCUGAAUUCAUAACCCCUUGGAGGUCAAGUAGGUUAGCUCUACAUAUUCUACAACUUUCCAGACCGGUGGCCCUGCACGUUGGGCUUUUAACGCCAGAGCGCAGAAGGAAAUCCGACGACCUUAGAGGGAAUCCAGUCUCCACCACUAAAUUCUAAACUCAAAUUUCUUCUCUGCGGCUACCAUCUUCCAUAGGACUACAACUCCCAGCAGGCCACGCCCGAGGCCAAAACUUACUGGCGGCCCUGCCCGGGUUUCUUGCGUUGUGGCAGCCAGUACAGCCAAUAGCAAGGAAGGGCAACCCUCAGGAACCAGUCCUGGAGAGGCAGGGCGGAUCCUUUCAGGGUUCCGGUUCCGACUCCUUCCCCCGGUCGCCCGAGGCGGUGCUGUCCCUGACCGUACGGCUGGAGCUAGGUGGUAUUAUUGCCUUAGAAGAUCACAAUUUUACAACCAUCAUGUAAUGAAUAGAUUCAGGCUGAUUCCUGUUGGGGACAGUGUUCCAGUGGCCUUCAAGGAGCAACCAGCCUAGAGGAAGAGACAGAUGGAAGAGCAGUAGAAAUUUCCAAGACUCGUUACUGGGAAAGGCAAUGAAAUUUCUGUAAGAGUCAGAGAUUUGUUUUCAUAAUUAUCUUCCAUGGGCUGUUUUCCCCUUACAACUGUAUUUUCAUUAUAGAAAACUAUAUGUGUUGCAAUAUAGGUCCCCUCCUAGUUGUAAAGUAUGUCAUAGGAGGGUGGAUUUGCUCACUAACUCUAUGAUAACUAAUCUGCUGAGCAUAACUGCAUCUUAUAAUGAACACAAACAAAAUAUCAAAACUGGGAAGUUUCUUCUUAGAUUAAAAAGGAAACCCAAAACAAAGCCCAAAGUCCUCAUGUGAUAUAUGAGGCCCUACAUGAUCUAGCAUCCUGCCACCUCUCUGCCAUCAUCUCCCUGUCGCCCUAGUCCAGCCAUCCUGGCCUCCUUGCUUGUCCUUCAACACACCAGACAUGGUCCUGCCUUUGUACCUUUGGACUUGCUGUUCUCUUGGCUUAGAAAAGACUUUCCCCCAGAUUAUGUGUAUGAUUUGCUCCCUUACUUCAUCAUUCACAUUUGUUCAAGUAUCAUUCCCUCAGGGAGACCUUCAAAUUAUCUUCUCUAAAAUCAAGCCACCCACCCCACCCUCACAUCCAUCAUCUUCUAUUCUUUGGUUUGCCUUUUCUUCCCCAUAACACAAAUCACCAUCUGAUACUUUAUUAUACAUUUGUUGAUUGUUGAUUGCUCGGUUUUCCCCACCAGAAUGUAAGCUCCAUGAAGGCAAAUCCUUGUUUUGUUUGCUGCUUUAUCCCCAGCCCUAGAACAAUGCCUGGCGCCCAGCAGGUGCUCAAUAAAUGAAUGAAGUGAAACUAAUGGAAAGAUAUGGGUUCCAUGACAGGAAAGGCUUGCACUGGGAACCCUGCACCAGGUGGUUUAGGAGAUGCCGACCAUCAGAGCCAGAGAUGACCUUGAGAAGGGAAGAGAUCCCUGGGAAUUCACAGAAACCUGGGGGGGUAAGUAGCAGACUUUAUGAAGGGGGUGAAAGGGGGAAUAUGGAGUAAUUCUGACACCUGCAUCACACACACAUUCUCUUAUUUCAUCUUAAUAUCACAACAGAUGAGGAAACUGAAGAUCAGAAAGGUGAAGUGACUUACCC